This 275-nucleotide ribosomal RNA is filed under the name uncultured prokaryote. RNAcentral's name for it is "partial 16S ribosomal RNA". It matches the Rfam family "Bacterial small subunit ribosomal RNA", at positions 524 to 800 of the family's 1533-position model. The record is from RNAcentral.
UACGUAGGGGCGAGCGUUAUCCGGAAUUAUUGGGCGUAAAGGGUUCGCAGGCGGCCUUGUAAGUCAGAUGUGAAAGACAGCGGCUUAACCGUUGUAAGCAUUUGAAACUGCAGGGCUUGAGUACAGGAGAGGAAAGCGGAAUUCCUAGUGUAGCGGUGAAAUACGUAGAUAUUAGGAGGAACACCAGUGGCGAAGGCGGCUUUCUGGACUGAUACUGACGCUGAGGAACGAAAGCGUGGGGAGCAAACAGGAUUAGAUACCCUGGUAGUCCCUGA